Oncorhynchus kisutch (coho salmon) is the source of this 577-nucleotide long non-coding RNA. RefSeq lists it as uncharacterized. NCBI's taxonomy places the organism in Eukaryota, Metazoa, Chordata, Actinopteri, Salmoniformes, Salmonidae. The record is from RefSeq and is a predicted model, not a curated record. The transcript is spliced from 4 exons.
AAUAAGCUUUUUGUGCGUAUGGAAAUUUCUGGGAUCUUUUAUUUCAGCUCAUGAAAGAUGAGACCAACACUUACAUGUUGCGUAUUUUUGUUCAGUGUAUGAUGAUGAAUGUUUGAAUGUAGGCUAUUUCUUUCUAUGUGAAUCAGUGGCCAUGCAUGUUGACUUUACACUGACUGAGUGUAAUCUAGUUGACUGUCUGUGGUGUUUCAGAUGGAGAGAAGAGAGAGGAGAACAGAACAGGGUGACUACUGAUCUGGACCACAUUCUGAAGGGGCUGGACUCCAUGUCUGAGUGUCUGGACAGACUGGCAUAUAGUGUGGGCACAGCUGAGAGGGUGUGACCUGAUCACGUGACUUCAGCCACCCAGUCAAGAUGGCCUCUCUGAAUAGAGCGGAACAGGGGGAGAGGACAGUCCAUUCAGCUCUCCCCAGCCCGCCAUAGUGAAGCCACCUCAACUAAAGGCCCCAAAGCCACCAGACUAUUCUAACGGAUCCAGCUCCAGUAAACCUCCUACUCCUCCUUCUCACCCUCCUUCAAAUGUCCCCAACACAAAAACAGGCACUUGGAAGGUGAGCGG